This 75-nucleotide transfer RNA is filed under the name Winogradskya consettensis. RNAcentral's name for it is "Actinoplanes consettensis tRNA-Val". It matches the Rfam family "tRNA". Rfam says of the family: Transfer RNA (tRNA) molecules are approximately 80 nucleotides in length. Their secondary structure includes four short double-helical elements and three loops (D, anti-codon, and T loops). Lineage: Bacteria; Bacillati; Actinomycetota; Actinomycetes; Micromonosporales; Micromonosporaceae. The record is from RNAcentral. RNAcentral also lists the same sequence under 1 other name.
GUUCCGAUGGCUCAGCUUGGUAGAGCGCCGUUUCGACAAGACGGAGGACCCUGGUUCAAAUCCAGGUCGGAACAC